Molecule: ribosomal RNA, 468 nt
Filed under: uncultured bacterium
Lineage: Bacteria
Description: partial 16S ribosomal RNA
Rfam family: Bacterial small subunit ribosomal RNA
Source: RNAcentral
GACGAACGCUGGCGGCGUGCUUAACACAUGCAAGUCGAACGGAAAGGCCCUGCUUUUGUGGGGUGCUCGAGUGGCGAACGGGUGAGUAACACGUGAGUAACCUGCCCUUGACUUUGGGAUAACUUCAGGAAACUGGGGCUAAUACCGGAUAGGAGCUCCUGCUGCAUGGUGGGGGUUGGAAAGUUUCGGCGGUUGGGGAUGGACUCGCGGCUUAUCAGCUUGUUGGUGGGGUAGUGGCUUACCAAGGCUUUGACGGGUAGCCGGCCUGAGAGGGUGACCGGCCACAUUGGGACUGAGAUGCGGCACAGACUCCUACGGGAGGCAGCAGUGGGGAAUAUUACACAAUGGGCGGAAGCCUGAUGCAGCAACGCCGCGUGCGGGAUGACGGCCUUCGGGUUGUAAACCGCUUUCGCCUGUGACGAAGCGUGAGUGACGGUAAUGGGUAAAGAAGCACCGGCUAACUACGUG